GUUGGUGGCUCAUGUGGCGGGGGUACACCCGGUCCCUUUCCGAACCCGGCAGUUAAGCCCGCUAGCGCCGAUGGUACUGCACUGGUAACGGUGUGGGAGAGUAGGUGGCCGCCAACU
This 117-nucleotide ribosomal RNA is filed under the name Anaerolineaceae bacterium. RNAcentral also lists the same sequence under 2 other names. The record is from RNAcentral. Lineage: Bacteria; Bacillati; Chloroflexota; Anaerolineae; Anaerolineales; Anaerolineaceae.